UUGUAAACCAAAGCCGGAUAUUCCUUAGAGCAA
This 33-nucleotide transfer RNA is filed under the name Crotalus lutosus (Great Basin rattlesnake). RNAcentral describes it as "Crotalus oreganus lutosus partial tRNA-Thr". Lineage: Eukaryota; Metazoa; Chordata; Lepidosauria; Squamata; Viperidae. The record is from RNAcentral.